GUAGUAGCUGGAUAUGGGAGUCUGGGGCUAAGAGGAGGGGUGUUGGCUAGAUAUAUAAGCUUUGAAGUCAUCAGCCUAUAAAUAUUGACAAAACAAGUGAGGUGGCAGAGGAAUUAGUGAACAUAGAAAAAAAAGAGGUCUGAGGAUUGAGAUCAGAGGCAUGCCCAUAUAUUAAAGAUUAAGGAACAGAGGAAGAAUCCACAAAGGAGAUUGAGAAGGAGUAGUCAGGGAGGUAGAAAGCAAGCCAAGAGACUGUCUCAAGUAGAAGGGAAUGAUCAACUGCUGACUGAUUAAGUAAGAUAAGGACUGAGACUUAGCAACAUGGAGGUCAUCAGUGAUUUUUGACUAGCUCAACCUGUGAGAGUGAAAACAUGACUGAAGUGAGUUCAAAGGGAAGUGGAGGAGUGGUCUUAGAGACAGUGAAUGCAGUCAGUCCUUUAAAUUUUGUCCUGAAGGGGAGUCGAGAUAUGAUAUAAGGAAAAGAUUUUCAUUUUUCCAAUGGAAGAUAAUAUAGCACAUUUACUUGCUGGUGAGAAUGAUCCAAGAGAGGAGGAAAAAACUGAUAAAAGACAGGGAAAGAAGGGACAAAGUACAAUUACUAAAACUUUCAAGGAAGGGGAAGAAACUAAGACUAUAAGUAGAGGGAUUGUCUUAGCUCAGGGGAUGGAACAUGUGUGUACUGUAGCACGCAGGGUGCACUAACAGAUGCAAGUGAAUGUGGUGAUGGGAAUGAGGAGGGGCAUUUUCAGGUUGCUUUAAUUUUCUUAGUGAAUUUGGAGGUAAGGGCAUGAACUUGAAAUGAGGGUGGAAAAGGAGAUAUUGUAGGAAAAGAUACAAAAUAGUCAUUUAGGAGGGUGGGAGAGGAACUAAACAAGGAGAAUGGGGCAGUAAAUAGACUAGGAAGAUGUAGUGGGAUUGCUGAAUAGCACAAAAGUCUCACCGGAGGUGAGUGAUAACGAGUUUAAAUCAGGACCGCCUGGUUUGGAUGUGUAUUUUCUCCUGCCAUAUUAAGCUGCAGGCAUGUGCAAACAUCAUGUGUGGGGAAUUGAAUUAAGCCAGGACUGGGUCCUUUUCAAGAAAAUACAAUGAAAGGAGAGAAGGGCAAGAGAGUUGAAAGUGUAUGCAAGGGAAUUUAUACUGAUGGACUGUAGAAUCUACACAGGGUAAGGACGCGAGGUGAGUGCGGGACAGUGAAAAGGUGGUGGCAUCAGAUUAACUAAUUUUCAGUCCCAAAGGACCAGAAAUAUUUUAGGAAUUGGGAUGUUAGUGGGAAUAAACUAUUAGGUUGGUGCAAAAGUAAUUUUCUUGUUUGUUUGGUUUUUUGUUUGUUUGUUUGUUUUGCCCUUACUUUUGCACCAACCUAACAGGAAAAAUCAGUGGUUAUGGUCAGAAAGUGGGAAGCUUGAAGUUGAGAUUAUCAAGUUAAUAUCAGUGCAGUCAUUGGUAAUGAUAAGUUCUAGGAUCUAAGCAAUGGGAAGAAAGAAGUUGGCUGAAGAAAUGAUGGAAAUUAAUUAUAUAAUUGAAGAAAAAGAAGUCAAGGCACUGAGAGCAUGUUCAGUUGGCAGAAAUUCCAUGACAGCAUCUACAAGGGCAUAUUGGAGAGAGUGAGGAAAUUAAACCAGUUGCCUGCUGGGCUGGUUGGUGUACAGAAGAGGAGAAGGAUUCUGAGGGGUCAUCUCCAAUCCCAUUUUUUUUCAGCCCCAGCCUGCAUCCCUUUCUACAGAAGUAACAACAAUUUCCAGUUUCUGAGCCUUUCCAGGGUUGUACAGUAGUCAUUUCAGAGAGGCUUCAGGAUGGAGUUGUGAUAAACGCAUGUGUUCAGUCUACAAUGUUUAACAGGGAGUGCCUCUUGAUUUUUUCAUGUGAAUUACUGAGGAGUAGGUAGUAGACUAUCUUGAUGCCCUUCCUCAUGUCCCUUUGACUCUGAGUUGACCUGCAGCUGCAGUGAACACUUCCUAAGGAUGCUGAUGUCUUCCCCUAUCAAGCACUUGCCUCAUUCUGCUUCUCCGAGGAUUUCCUCCAGUACACCAAGAGCUUGCCCGACACUCACAAGGUAUCCUGGAACUGCUGGGGACUGAAAACCCCUCAACCCAUGAAGAAUGAGGAUCAGUGGAUUAAUAGCAACUGUCCCAUACCUUGGUGGGACUAUUAUAAGGCAUUCUGGUUGGUUCCUCAGAGGUCCCAAAUGGGAUUGAACCAAAGUUGCCCACAGUAAAAACUCAUUCACCAACUCAAUUUUCAUUUCACCCCUCUCAAUUUGCACACUCACUCACUUGUUCUACCUGGGAUACUCUCCAAGAUAAACUCCUGUAUCCAAAGCUUUGUCUCAAGGUCUCAUUUGGGAGGAACUCAAACUAAGAUAAUAGGUACUGGAAGUGACUACAGAAAGUAUAUUAUCAAUGGUAUGGAGGCAACAAAAACCCCAUUAAUGGUGGUGAGUAAGGUGGUGACAAACCCUGGCACUUUGAAGAAUUUCAUUACCCACAAUUGACCCAUGGUGUACUUGGAUGAGGUAAAAAUGAAAGGAGACGCUAACCUUAUGCAAUAGUGCUAACUCCUGAAAGAUAUAGGGCUGUGAUAAUCACAGGAAUUGAAGAGUUGUCUUGUUCUUGUUAACUCCCCUAGAAGAAUUGGGAAAAAAGAAAGAUAGGUUUACAACAUCCAACUACCCAUUCAGAGCAUAGCAAUGAAAGCCAGAAGGUCUCCUUGGGAGAAUCUGAAGAGACCCCCAUUUCCUGCAACCAGAGGGCAGGCUGUUCUAAAAAAAUGACAUUCAGGGGUUCACUGCAAGAGGAAUUGAACUACAGAGCAGACUGAAGACACAGUCCAGGCAGGCCUCUCAUGCAAAAGUCAAAGCCCUAGAGGAAGGAAAUGGUCCUUAAAAACUACUGGGAUGCAGGCAGGCAUCUGGAUAGAUGUGCUAGAUAACCUUGAACCCCUAGAUUCCCUGAACAACCCAGGCUAGCAGGAGUAUCCUGCACCCUGUUACUUGAACAGAACAGCUUCCCUUUGCCUAGAGACUCUACACAGUCCUCCUCUGAAGCAGACACCUCCAAGAUUACUUCAAGGUCUGCUACUUCCUGCCCUCAUUGCCUCUAUUCCAAAAACUGGAAACAAGUCUCAGCAUGCCCUGAGCAGGGUAGCACAUUUCUUGCUGUGAGAGAUAUGACAGAUUGUAUUUUCUAAAGAAGGCUGCAACCAUGUCUCUCAUCCCAAAUGCUCUUCUACAAUGCAAUCUUGUCACUCCUCUACCAAGAGAUGAAACCUAAUUUCAAUGCCCUUGAAUCUAAGCUGGACUUUACUUGCUUUGACCUGUAAUGUACAGAAGUGACACUGUGUGAUUCUUACAGCUGAGUCAUAAAAGGUGAUGCAGCUUCUGCCUUGUUCCUGGGGACAUAUGCCUCUGUGAGAUUGAGCUACUAAAUAACAAGACCACCUACCUUGAGGCUGCCAUGCUGGAAGAAAGCAAAGCCACAUGAAGAGCAAGUAAGCUGGUUGCUUUAGCAAGAUCCUUCAUAUUGAUAGUGAAUGUGCACUUCUGUCUUUCUCUUGUGAAUGCAAACCACUUUUUCAAUAGUCUCACGUUAAGUGCCAAAGAUUGUUGUUUUUGUUGAAUGCAUUCUCUUUAUCAUUCACUACCUGGCCCUAGGAAUUUGUUCAAUGAUCCUCAUUUCUGUUACAAUAUAGUCUUCAGUGACCUUGAUCAUCUUCACAUUCUAUAGAACAUCAUCCUGGCCCAUUAUAUUAAUGACAGAAUAAUAAUUGAACUUGGUUUUUAGGAAGGAGCAAGUAUACUGGUUUUAAAUACUUCAUGCUGAAGGAAUGAGAGAUAAGCCCUACAAAGUUUUGGAAGUCUGCCACAUCAGGGAAUAUUUUAGGGGCCCAAAGAUCCAGGGGUAUGUUGAGACACCCUACUCAAAAGAAUACUUUACAUUUCCUACCACUAAGACAGAGGCACAGCACUUGGUGAGCUGCUUUGAAUUCCUGAGGCAAAAAAAUAACAAUAAUAAAUACUACCCAUGAGAAUAAUGCUCUGAUCUAUUGUAUCAGAAGACUAUUGACUUUGCGGGGGUCUGAGAGAGUAUCUGAAUAGCCUUUUAAAGACUUAAAAAGGCAUUGGCUUAGGAAUUGCACCUUGCAUGGCUAGGUCAUUGUCCUCGAGGAUACAGCAUAUUUGUUGAACCAGUGAUCACUAUAUGCAAUCACUGUGCUGUUUUCCCAGCAUUUGGAAUACACAGGAAUGAUAAUUAAAGGAUACAAGUAGGACUGACUUAAACACACUCCCUUUCACCCAUUAGUGGAAAUUAUGUUUUUAAUUCUUACAACUUUAGGCUCUUCCUGAUUAAAAGCCUUGGUCUCAAGGUGUGUGUACAGACGGAGACAGUAAGUGUUCCACUGCAUCAAUGCAGUGCCAUCUGAGGAUUUGGGCAUCUCCAUACUGACAGGUCAGCAGGCAAAAAUGGGAGUACUAUACUGGCAGGGACACCUGACUGAUUAUCUUGAAGAGUCGGAGUUGCUGCUACAUAAUGGGCCCAGGGAGGAAGAUGUCUAGAACUUGGGGGAAUCACUCAGGCCCCCCUUAGUGCUUCUUUGUCUGGCGAUAAUAGCAGAGAAGCAAUUGAAGUAGCCAUGUCCUCACAAGGGCAAGGUAAUCAAGGCCCAGCCACUCAGAGAUGAAGGUCUGGUCAUACACUGAGCAAGCAAUGAUGACUAGUGGAAGUGCUAGCCAAGGAUUCGGGAAAUCUAGAAGAAGUGGAAUUGGAGAGAGAUGAUGAGUAUAGAUUAUAGCCUUGGGACCAGCUGCAGCAGUGAAGAUUGUGACUUGUUCCACAUAUUCUUCUAUUUUCAGUCAUUUUUGGAGAUUGCAGCCAGCUACAACUCUGAAAUGUCAGUAACAGAGCAAACUAAGGGUGGGCAUGAGAGGAUCUGCUGAGAGCAAGGAAUGAACAUGGUAGUCACUAAUGAUACACUGCCCAUGUUCCCCGGCUCACCUGUUAGCUCCCCGGCAGCUUGCAAACAUGUCUAUACACACUGCCAUCUUCCUACCACGAGUGCCAUAACUCUCUGCUUCUCUGCUGAGGCCCUUCUCAGCUCACAGUGCGAGUAGCCUGCAAGUGCUAAGGGCAUAAUGCCUCCAAGGUCAACUUUAAUCAACGAGGUUCAAGAGUCAGAAGAGUGAAUUCCUUCUGAGAUACAUUCUUUCUGGUUUCUCAGAGGCUCCCCAGAGGAAGUAGGCCCCAGUUGCUUAGGAAAAAUGGAACCUACUUAUUAAGGCACCCCCUUUUUACUUUUCUCCUUUCUUUCUCUCCCUUUCCCCACUCCAUUCCGUGAAGUUCCUGGGAUCACCAAAUAAACUAUCUGUAAUCAAAUCUUUAUCUCACUCUGCAUUCUGGGGAACCCAAACAAAGAUGGUCCACUGACUUGUCACAUGGCAGAACGGAGAGCUACCUCAGGC
This 5455-nucleotide long non-coding RNA is filed under the name Homo sapiens (human). RNAcentral's name for it is "HSALNT0078990". Lineage: Eukaryota; Metazoa; Chordata; Mammalia; Primates; Hominidae. The record is from RNAcentral.